GACAGCAGUAGCCGCGGGAAUACAGAGGGUGCGAGCGUUAAUCGGAUUUACUGGGCGUAAAGCGUGCGUAGGCGGCUUUUUAAGUCGGAUGUGAAAUCCCUGAGCUUAACUUAGGAAUUGCAUUCGAUACUGGGAAGCUAGAGUAUGGGAGAGGAUGGUAGAAUUCCAGGUGUAGCGGUGAAAUGCGUAGAGAUCUGGAGGAAUACCGAUGGCGAAGGCAGCCAUCUGGCCUAAUACUGACGCUGAGGUACGAAAGCAUGGGGAGCAAACAGGAUUAGAUACCCCAGUAGUCCCUGUCUCUUAUAC
RNAcentral lists this ribosomal RNA (306 nucleotides) under uncultured bacterium. RNAcentral describes it as "partial 16S ribosomal RNA". It matches the Rfam family "Bacterial small subunit ribosomal RNA", at positions 507 to 807 of the family's 1533-position model. The record is from RNAcentral.